Molecule: ribosomal RNA, 400 nt
Filed under: uncultured bacterium
Lineage: Bacteria
Description: bacterial SSU rRNA
Rfam family: Bacterial small subunit ribosomal RNA
Source: RNAcentral
AGGGCUUGACAUCCAACUAACGAAGUAGAGAUACAUCAGGUGCCCUUCGGGGAAAGUUGAGACAGGUGGUGCAUGGUUGUCGUCAGCUCGUGUCGUGAGAUGUUGGGUUAAGUCCCGCAACGAGCGCAACCCUUAUUGUUAGUUGCUACGCAAGAGCACUCUAGCGAGACUGCCGUUGACAAAACGGAGGAAGGUGGGGACGACGUCAAAUCAUCAUGCCCCUUAUGUCCUGGGCCUCACACGUAAUACAAUGGCGCAAACAGAGGGAAGCGAAGCCGCGAGGCAGAGCGAAUCCCCAAAAGGCGUCCCAGUUCGGAUCGCAGGCUGCAACCCGCCUGCGUGAAGUCGGAAUUGCUAGUAAUCGCGGAUCAGCAUGCCGCGGUGAAUACGUUCCCGGGCC